This 87-nucleotide non-coding RNA is filed under the name human gut metagenome. Its description in RNAcentral is "Glycine riboswitch". It matches the Rfam family "Glycine riboswitch aptamer", at positions 9 to 86 of the family's 94-position model. Rfam says of the family: This family represents the bacterial glycine riboswitch. The record is from RNAcentral.
GGACUCUGGAGAAUCCCAUUGAGUUGGGUGCCGAAGGUGUAAGGCCCGUGCGCGGGCUGAAUCUCUCAGGCCAAAGGACAGAGACGG